CCUACGGGAGGCAGCAGUGGGGAAUAUUGGGCAAUGGGCGCAAGCCUGACCCAGCAACGCCGCGUGAAGGAAGAAGGCUUUCGGGUUGUAAACUUCUUUUCGCAGGGACGAAGCAAGUGACGGUACCUGAGGAAUAAGCCACGGCUAACUACGUGCCAGCAGCCGCGGUAAGACGUAGGUGGCAAGCGUUAUCCGGAUUUACUGGGUGUAAAGGGCGUGUAGGCGGGAAAGCAAGUCAGAUGUGAAAACCAUGGGCUCAACCUGUGGACUGCAUUUGAAACUGUUGUUCUUGAGUACUGGAGAGGCAGACGGAAUUCCUAGUGUAGCGGUGAAAUGCGUAGAUAUUAGGAGGAACACCAGUGGCGAAGGCGGUCUGCUGGACAGCGACUGACGCUGAGGCGCGAAAGCGUGGGGAGCAAACAGGAUUAGAUACCCGUGUAGUC
Molecule: ribosomal RNA, 443 nt
Filed under: uncultured bacterium
Lineage: Bacteria
Description: partial 16S ribosomal RNA
Rfam family: Bacterial small subunit ribosomal RNA
Source: RNAcentral